RNAcentral lists this ribosomal RNA (1011 nucleotides) under Triticum aestivum (bread wheat). Its description in RNAcentral is "partial small subunit ribosomal RNA". Lineage: Eukaryota; Viridiplantae; Streptophyta; Magnoliopsida; Poales; Poaceae. The record is from RNAcentral.
AUGCAAUUGCUAAGACAAGCCAUAGGAUCACCAACAGGUUUAGCCAUAUGCGCUGAUGCUGGCCAAGCAGUGAUGACAGGGGUAAAAGAAGUGUUCCCGGAGGCAGAACAUAGAGAAUGUAUGUUCCACUUGGUGAGCAACUUCAAGAAGAAGUUUACUGGAAAAGUAUUUGAUGACCACCUAUGGGCAGCUGCUUACUCAUGGAACCCAUAUAUAUUUGACAAGAGUUGGGCUGCAAUGGAGGCAGUAAAGCCAGCCGCAACAACAUAUAUUAGGAAGUGGCACAAUAGGUUGUGGUCUAGGAGUCAGUUCUCGACCAUAUGCAAGGUGGACUAUGUAACCAACAACUUGGCGGAGUGCUUUAACAAUUGGAUCAAGCACCACAAGUCAUUGAACUUGGACGAUUUCUUGGACAAGGCGAGGUAGAUGAUUAUGAUCUUGUGGAAUGAUAGGAGAAAAGUAGCAAAGAAGUUAGAUGGAUUGAUUCUACCCCACAUAAUGAAGAAGUUAAACGCAUUGACUAGAGAAUUCAACUUGGAGGUGGUAGAAUGCUCAGAAGAAGUGGCUGAAGUGGUUGCAUUAGGAGGCAGCGGUUUUAGGUUUGUCGUUAACUUGCAGGAUCGAACAUGUUCAUGUCGACAAUGGCAAGUUUGUGGUCUUCCUUGCAAACAUGCUCUUGCAUUCAUCACAUCACUUAGCGAUGCUCACAUAAAGAAUUACGUUGAUUUGUAUUAUUCCACUGAAAAAUUCAGAGCAGCUUAUUCCAACCUGAUCCCUGCUAUGCCUGACAAGAGCCAAUGGCCUGAAUCUGACCAUGGAUUUUUCAUGCAUCCACCACUACUUAAAGCUACAGCUGGCAGGCCUAAAACUGAGAGAUAUAAAGGUUGUAGUGACAAGAAAAGAAAAAAGGGCAAGCACUUAUGUCCAAUUUGUAAGGAAUAUGGGCAUCAUUGGCACAACUGUAAGAAGGGUAACCCUGAUGACAUUGCUGCAAUGUUGGCUAUUAGGUAA